CACGUAGGGCGCAAGCGUUGUCCGGAAUUAUUGGGCGUAAAGAGCUCGUAGGUGGUUUGUUACGUCCGCUGUGAAAUCCUAGGGCUUAACCCUGGGCUUGCAGUGGAUACGGGCAGACUAGAGGUAGGUAGGGGAGAAUGGGAUUCCUGGUGUAGCGGUGAAAUGCGCAGAUAUCAGGAGGAACACCGGUGGCGAAGGCGGGUCUCUGGGCAACAACUGACGCUGAGGAGCGAAAGCGUGGGGAGCGAACAGG
RNAcentral lists this ribosomal RNA (253 nucleotides) under uncultured bacterium. Its description in RNAcentral is "partial 16S ribosomal RNA". It matches the Rfam family "Bacterial small subunit ribosomal RNA", at positions 524 to 776 of the family's 1533-position model. The record is from RNAcentral.